UCCUUUCUGAUGGAUGAUUGGAUAUCAGACCUAUCAUGCCAUGUUGGCACAUAUGUGGCGUGUGCAUGAGCUUUACUGCACACAUGUGCUUAUCAAAGCUCACAAAACACAUUAAGUGUUAGUUUCAAAAUGUGUUUGGCAAAGAGCAUGGGGAAGUUUUUCUUUAAUCAGUAGCUGAGGGAAUAUGGCUAGGUGGUGAUGGCAUUUUAGAAAGAAUUGGUAUAAAUACGAUCAGAAAUUUGUAAUUUCAAAGGGAGGCUUUUGAAAGCGGCGUCAUAAGACUAAAAAAAAAAAAAAAACAUCAAGGGCUUGUUUGGUAGACGUCUGAAAAUGAGUUCAUCACAUGAGAUUAUGAUUGUUGGUCAUUAAGAUUAUUUUUAAUCCUUACCAAAAUGGCAUAUGAUCUCUAAUACGUAAUUGCAAUUAACUAAGAUGAGAAGAACUCAUUUUUAGGCGUCUACCAAACAGGCCCUAAAGCUUUAAGCCCUUAAGAACUAUUUUGGGUGAUGCUCAAAAUUACUCUCCUUUAUUUGCUCGCUAUUUGAAAGUAGUAAUCAAUUCUGAAAGUAUUGUGCCAAAAUGUAAAUGACUAAGCACUCCCAUUACAAUAGUGAAGAUAUUUGAAUAGGCGGUUGUAUCUUACAUUUGGGAAAUGAUCUGGUGGCACACAUCAAUGGCUAACUUUGGCUGUUCUUAUCACUGUCAACGGUGAUGAGGAGCUGGCCCAAUCAAUCAUCAACAACGUUGUCGUCACCAUCUUAGAUUUUUCCUAGCAAAUUGGGAAUGGCUUUUAAAUGGUAGAUUGGCAAAAUACUGCAGUUGCUGCCCAUCAAACAUCAACCUUCCUCGUUUUUUCGGGGCUCUUGGAUCUGGCAACCAUAGAGGCUCACAUUGACACCACUCACAUGCCAACACGGCCCAAUCAAUACAAAAUGCAGGCCCACAACUCAUUCAACAUUUAACAUUUGUAAGUUUAAACACUGGCAAUGCAAAACUUUCAACCCAAGAUCAAAGCUCUUGAAGAGAGACUACACAGGCAAUCCGGGGCUGGUCUGACACUGUAGCCUACCUGGUUCUACCACUUCUUGUUGUUUCUCAGCACAUGUGUCAAUGGAGCUCAUGAAGCCGCCUCAAGUGCAGAAUCAUCUUUCUAAAGCGUUGCUGCUCUUUUCAAAUUUCUUUUUUUCUUUUUUUUUUUUAUAACAUAUAUCGAAGUCCUAUAAUUAUAUUCUUUGUUGGCAGACUGUUGAUCUGGCUUCAAAUAAUACGCUUCUUAUCUUCAAUUUCUUCUUGUCAUUGGUUAUUUUUCUUUGUCAGCCCUCUCAGGAUUAUCAAUCUACUGGUUGGUAUCUUCUUCAAAAUUUAUUUAUUUUUUCCAAAAGCAAGUGAUAUGUAGUUUUUUGUGUUACAUUCUGUUGCAUACUAUAUGUCCAUGUUAAUCAUUGAUCUUUGGUAAUAUUAUUCAUGCAUGUCUCUAUAUCAGUACAUGAGCCAACAUACGUCUCUAUCUCAGCAUUUCUGUGACUUGUGUGAUAUGGUGAUUUGUCUAAUUUCCCCAUAUUAGCUUGCAUCUCGAAAAUGAAACAGCUUAAAUUUUUUUGUUCACAGGCUGUAACUUAGAUACAGACACUCAUGUCGGUGUCGGCACUUCAAACUAAGCAAACCUGACAUACUACCGCAGCCACAGGGUUAUGCGAUGAUAUUGAAAGAUGCAUUGUUGUAUAAAUUUGGUUCAUACUAGUAACAGAAUUAGAAAGAUAUAUCAAUAUAAUAGAAUGACAUCCAGGCUACAAAAGUGAUAUGCAAAUAAUACCCAAAAAAGGAAAUGGAUAAAGUGAUGCAAAACAUGUGAACUUGACUAGCACAAGUCUUUAGUACAGGUGCAACGCCAUUCAGGUCACGUAAAUCUGAGCCCGAUGUGACCUGCUUUUCAUAUAAACUCACCUAGCAGGCCUCACUAUGGUGGCCUACAUGUCAAAAUCCUGCUGAUUAGAGAUCCUUACUGUCCAUACACAUGCAUUAAUAUAUUGAUGUUCUUUGUAGCUCAUGAGCUUUGAGAAGUGAUAUUUUUGCCAUGUGUUGCAUCUGUGGUACAGCCUUCUAGAUGAACCGCAUGGAUGACACAUGGUCAGGAAGAAGGCACAAGCUUCAUGGAUGGACCUUGAAGGGCAGGAAGAGGAAGUCCUAGAAGGCACGUAUGCUUCCAGUAGCAGCAAACUGGUUAUUAUACCAGCAGACAAAGGAUCAAAUGAUCAAUGCAGAGAUGCUCAGCGUAGAAUAUGCACAUCCCUUAGCUUAUGGCUUCUGUCAUUAAUGCUGCGUUUGGUUGUACCAGAUAUAAUGAAAUUUGGGGCAACCAAACACACCCUAAGCUACUUGGUUGGCAGUGAAGUAAAAGGACUACUUGACUGUCAAUGUGAAGAAUCUCUCAUCAGACAACAGCCAUGGAUCUUAGUUAGAGUUAGGGCCCUGAUGGCAACAUGUGGGGUGAAGCUGAGGGCAGAAAGAAGAGUGUUCCAGCAUUUAUCUUUUGAAGGCCACUGAAGUUCAAUUGCACACUAGCUUAAGGAAGUGAGUCAUAGUCACCAGGAACUUCCAUCACAUGAGAUAAUCAUGCUCACUUGUUCAUACAUGCUCCCCAUGAACUUAAGCUCCUGAAGCUUGGGUCCCACAACUGGUUCUUAGUUGGUGAUGGUAAUGAAGUUAUGGAAAUGAGAAGAAGCUGCAAGGAGUAGACAUGUCAAGAGAAGAUGGGUUAUGGUCUGUUUCCUCUUCAUACUAGGAAUGUUGGGCUUGAGCAUUGGUUGAAGUGGUUAGAGAAAAGGGGUGGAAGGCCUUUUGAAGCAUGGGAAAAAAAGAAAAGCCAUAACUAACUCAUGAAAAAAGAUAGGAAUGUUUUUGCUAAGGUGUGGAAUCCUAUGUAUGGAAAUUGAAUUUUGAUUAGAUUAGGAUUGUGCGUUUCUCUUCAUUACAGGUUUUGACUUCUCCCUUGCAAUCAUUUGGAAUAACAUCAAAGUCAUUGGCUUUGCCGCUUGCAUGCAUUCCCUCAUGAGUGCCCAACCCAUUUUGUUCAAAAUGGGCAUGUGGGUGUGACCUGUCGGGUGGCCCGCACCAUUGCAGUAGGCCCAGUGCACCGCCGCAGGACUCUGAUGUGUCAACUCACGACUCAGCAAGAUUUCAAGCCUAGUAUCUGAGAAACUUGUUGCCGCAAGUGACUCAACCAUGAUCUCACCAUUUUGAGGUGAGACUAUUCCCUGCGGAUGCACGCAUAUCAGGGAGGGAUAUCGAACUUGCGUCUGGGAGGAGCACACCCACGACGCUUGCCAUUCGCCCAAACCCCUUGCGGAUUUUGAAUUACUUGAUACAACAUUUUUAAAUAUUUAUUUAUCUUCGUAAUAUUUUCAAUUUAUAAUAAUUAAAUAUUCAGUUG
Molecule: long non-coding RNA, 3430 nt
Organism: Magnolia sinica
Lineage: Eukaryota; Viridiplantae; Streptophyta; Magnoliopsida; Magnoliales; Magnoliaceae
Exons: 8
Source: RefSeq, a predicted model, not a curated record